This 400-nucleotide long non-coding RNA is filed under the name Ictidomys tridecemlineatus (thirteen-lined ground squirrel). Its description in RNAcentral is "lncRNA (ENSSTOG00000032234.1)". Lineage: Eukaryota; Metazoa; Chordata; Mammalia; Rodentia; Sciuridae. The record is from RNAcentral.
CCGGUGCCCGCACCUCCGCGGGAGCCAGAAAACCUGUGGCACACCCCCUCCCCCUGCUGCAGGCCUCUGAGGAACGUGUGGAGCCGGGAGGCGGCGGAAGAGAAAAAGUCCCUGGGCUAUACCCACCUCCCCGGGGAAUGUUCUCGAAAGCGUUGCCCUGUGACCUUCAGUUCCUAGGCGCCAGCGAGCGGGAUCUUCUAGGACUAAGGAUGACGCCUGGGAAUCUGACUUUUAAACAACGCCUCAGCCUGAUCCAGCAAUUUCCCUGGCUUGGCUGCUAAUAAUGGAGUGAUGACUUUGGUGGGACUGUAAUGCCAACCUUGAAGGAGGGGAGCUGGUAAAAAAAUACCCCUGAAGCUAUGAAAAUGAGUUUUUGUUUUGGGACUCUCCUUUUCCCUUG